This 939-nucleotide ribosomal RNA is filed under the name bacterium OVA10. RNAcentral's name for it is "bacterial SSU rRNA". It matches the Rfam family "Bacterial small subunit ribosomal RNA", at positions 54 to 991 of the family's 1533-position model. The record is from RNAcentral.
CAUGCAAGUCGAACGGCAGCGCGGGGCAACCUGGCGGCGAGUGGCGAACGGGUGAGUAAUAUAUCGGAACGUACCCAGAAGUGGGGGAUAACGUAGCGAAAGUUACGCUAAUACCGCAUACGAUCUACGGAUGAAAGUGGGGGACCUUCGGGCCUCAUGCUUUUGGAGCGGCCGAUAUCUGAUUAGCUAGUUGGUAGGGUAAAGGCCUACCAAGGCGACGAUCAGUAGCUGGUCUGAGAGGACGACCAGCCACACUGGAACUGAGACACGGUCCAGACUCCUACGGGAGGCAGCAGUGGGGAAUUUUGGACAAUGGGCGCAAGCCUGAUCCAGCAAUGCCGCGUGAGUGAAGAAGGCCUUCGGGUUGUAAAGCUCUUUUGUCAGGGAAGAAACGGCUGAGGAUAAUACCUUCGGCUAAUGACGGUACCUGAAGAAUAAGCACCGGCUAACUACGUGCCAGCAGCCGCGGUAAUACGUAGGGUGCAAGCGUUAAUCGGAAUUACUGGGCGUAAAGCGUGCGCAGGCGGUUUUGUAAGUCUGACGUGAAAGCCCCGGGCUCAACCUGGGAAUUGCGUUGGAGACUGCAAGGCUUGAAUCUGGCAGAGGGGGGUAGAAUUCCACGUGUAGCAGUGAAAUGCGUAGAGAUGUGGAGGAACACCGAUGGCGAAGGCAGCCCCCUGGGUCAAGAUUGACGCUCAUGCACGAAAGCGUGGGGAGCAAACAGGAUUAGAUACCCUGGUAGUCCACGCCCUAAACGAUGUCUACUAGUUGUCGGGUUUUAAUUAACUUGGUAACGCAGCUAACGCGUGAAGUAGACCGCCUGGGGAGUACGGUCGCAAGAUUAAAACUCAAAGGAAUUGACGGGGACCCGCACAAGCGGUGGAUGAUGUGGAUUAAUUCGAUGCAACGCGAAAAACCUUACCUACCCUUGACAUGGAA